GGGAAGAAAGAUUUUUUAUUAUAAAGUAACAGGACGUCUUGGGGUUCAUGAUUUCAGAUCACAUUUACCACAUUUUUCUCUUAACCUUAACAUAGGGCACCUGAAAUAACCUGAAAUAUCCACAUUCACUUAAUUGGUGGGGGAUUUGGCCACUCAGGCUAAUUAGCAUGAGUCCAUAAUGUCAGUGUUUAAAUUAGGCCAAAACUAAGAUCAAAGUACGAAUUUUAAUAGAACAAUGCAAUGACCUCAUUACUGACAUUGUAUUUGAGAAGUAAGUUUAAAGUGAGAGAAAAAGACAAGGAAAAAGAUGAUUUGGAAAAGGAAAGGCAAGAAGAAUAUAAGUGAAAGGAUGAAUAAUAAAUAUAUUUACUAUCAUUAGUUACUGAAAAUGUAAAAAACUGAAUUUUAAUGGAUUUUUAUUAAUAAAGUAUAAAAUUAAAUGAUUUAGAAAUUAUGAGCAUCUUCAUAUGCAUUAUCUUCCAUUUGGUGGCAUUGAAUAGUUUCAAAGCUCUUUCACAAAUGUUGUAAGUGAUUCUUGUAAGAAAUAAUUGUAGAUCAAUGGAACUUAAAUCAAUAGAAGAGGAAAGUUAAUUUAGUAAUAAAUCAAGCUUGCCUGAUUUAUUUCUGGCCUGAAAAUAUGGUUCAGGUUUCACUGACAGAGGAUAAAUAAGGAACAGUGAAAAUCCACAGCACAUACAUGGGGGGAAGGACACUUGGUGCUCAGUGGAGGGUGAGGGCUGGUGAGACACCAGGGAGCAGUGGGGAUAGUGGCAAAUUGAGAGUAUUGCCCACCCUUUGAAGGUCCACAGCACCUCAGCUCUAGCUGUGGGAGCAUAUAAUGGGGCCAGAUUCCAUCUUUCAAGAAAAUUAGGAAUCCCAGGUUUUUAUGUGAAACCUCACAAUUUGUAAAUGUUAACACACUAUUUUGCCUUUUUGUUUGUUGCUUUCAGGAACACUAUGUGGUCACGACCAUGUCAAUGGUCCCCUUAACCUUGGGGCUAGCCAUUUGUCACCUCUGAUUAGUGGUAUGCUGGUAAGUUUAACCACCAGCUCUCCAGAAAAAAAAAAAAAGUACAUAGAUAAAUAUGUACAUAAGUUUAUUAUAAAUUUUGCUGAUAGAAAGUUUGUGUAUCACACAAUUUACAAAAUGAUAAUAAAAUAUACAUAAUUAAUUCCUGAA
Molecule: long non-coding RNA, 1180 nt
Filed under: Canis lupus familiaris (dog)
Lineage: Eukaryota; Metazoa; Chordata; Mammalia; Carnivora; Canidae
Description: lncRNA (ENSCAFG00845026295.1)
Source: RNAcentral